RNAcentral lists this ribosomal RNA (1372 nucleotides) under uncultured bacterium. RNAcentral's name for it is "bacterial SSU rRNA". It matches the Rfam family "Bacterial small subunit ribosomal RNA", at positions 28 to 1381 of the family's 1533-position model. The record is from RNAcentral.
GAUGAACGCUGGCGGCGUGCCUAAUACAUGCAAGUCGAGCGAACGGACGAGAAGCUUGCUUCUCUGAUGUUAGCGGCGGACGGGUGAGUAACACGUGGAUAACCUACCUAUAAGACUGGGAUAACUUCGGGAAACCGGAGCUAAUACCGGAUAAUAUUUUGAACCGCAUGGUUCAAAAGUGAAAGACGGUCUUGCUGUCACUUAUAGAUGGAUCCGCGCUGCAUUAGCUAGUUGGUAAGGUAACGGCUUACCAAGGCAACGAUGCAUAGCCGACCUGAGAGGGUGAUCGGCCACACUGGAACUGAGACACGGUCCAGACUCCUACGGGAGGCAGCAGUAGGGAAUCUUCCGCAAUGGGCGAAAGCCUGACGGAGCAACGCCGCGUGAGUGAUGAAGGUCUUCGGAUCGUAAAACUCUGUUAUUAGGGAAGAACAUAUGUGUAAGUAACUGUGCACAUCUUGACGGUACCUAAUCAGAAAGCCACGGCUAACUACGUGCCAGCAGCCGCGGUAAUACGUAGGUGGCAAGCGUUAUCCGGAAUUAUUGGGCGUAAAGCGCGCGUAGGCGGUUUUUUAAGUCUGAUGUGAAAGCCCACGGCUCAUUCGUGGAGGGUCAUUGGAAACUGGAAAACUUGAGUGCAGAAGAGGAAAGUGGAAUUCCAUGUGUAGCGGUGAAAUGCGCAGAGAUAUGGAGGAACACCAGUGGCGAAGGCGACUUUCUGGUCUGUAACUGACGCUGAUGUGCGAAAGCGUGGGGAUCAAACAGGAUUAGAUACCCUGGUAGUCCACGCCGUAAACGAUGAGUGCUAAGUGUUAGGGGGUUUCCGCCCCUUAGUGCUGCAGCUAACGCAUUAAGCACUCCGCCUGGGGAGUACGACCGCAAGGUUGAAACUCAAAGGAAUUGACGGGGACCCGCACAAGCGGUGGAGCAUGUGGUUUAAUUCGAAGCAACGCGAAGAACCUUACCAAAUCUUGGUAUCCUUUGACAACUCUAGAGAUAGAGCCUUCCCCUUCGGGGGACAAAGUGACAGGUGGUGCAUGGUUGUCGUCAGCUCGUGUCGUGAGAUGUUGGGUUAAGUCCCGCAACGAGCGCAACCCUUAAGCUUAGUUGCCAUCAUUAAGUUGGGCACUCUAAGUUGACUGCCGGUGACAAACCGGAGGAAGGUGGGGGUGACGUCAAAUCAUCAUGCCCCUUAUGAUUUGGGCUACACACGUGCUACAAUGGACAAUACAAAGGGCAGCGAAACCGCGAGGUCAAGCAAAUCCCAUAAAGUUGUUCUCAGUUCGGAUUGUAGUCUGCAACUCGACUACAUGAAGCUGGAAUCGCUAGUAAUCGUAGAUCAGCAUGCUACGGUGAAUACGUUCCCGGGUCU